Non-coding RNA from Picea glauca (white spruce), 119 nucleotides. The record is from Rfam. NCBI's taxonomy places the organism in Eukaryota, Viridiplantae, Streptophyta, Pinopsida, Pinales, Pinaceae.
ACAUGCUUACAGCAUAGCGUUAAUGCACUAGAUCUCAUUAGAACUCCAGUUAAACACACUCGGGCUAGAGUAGUACUGGGAUGGGUGACCGCUCGGGAAGUCUUAGUAUAAAACAUGCC